UGAGGAAUAUUGCACAAUGGGCGAAAGCCUGAUGCAGCGACGCCGCGUGGGUGAAGAAGGUUUUCGGAUCGUAAAACCCUUUUCUGUGUGACGAGAACGGACGGUAGCACAGGAAUAAGUCUCGGCUAACUACGUGCCAGCAGCCGCGGUAAAACGUAGGAGACAAACGUUAUCCGGAGUUACUGGGCGUAAAGGGCGUGUAGGUGGUUGUGUAAGUUCGGCGUGAAAUUUCUCGGCUUAACCGGGAGAGGUCGUCGGAUACUGCACGACUAGAGGACGGUAGAGGCGUGUGGAAUUCCGGGUGUAGUGGUGAAAUGCGUAGAGAUCCGGAGGAACACCAGUGGCGAAGGCGACACGCUGGGCCGUACCUGACACUGAGGCGCGAUAGCAUGGGGAGCAAA
RNAcentral lists this ribosomal RNA (401 nucleotides) under uncultured bacterium. RNAcentral describes it as "bacterial SSU rRNA". It matches the Rfam family "Bacterial small subunit ribosomal RNA", at positions 355 to 772 of the family's 1533-position model. The record is from RNAcentral.